RNAcentral lists this ribosomal RNA (847 nucleotides) under uncultured archaeon. RNAcentral describes it as "bacterial SSU rRNA". It matches the Rfam family "Archaeal small subunit ribosomal RNA", at positions 490 to 1336 of the family's 1478-position model. The record is from RNAcentral.
GGUCGGGACGAUUAUUGGGCUUAAAGCGUCCGUAGCCGGCCCGGUGUGUCUCCGGUUAAAUCCGGCGUCUCAAGCACCGGGCUGCCGGAGAUACUACCGGGCUAGGGAGCGGGAGAGGCGGGCGGUAUUCCCUGGGUAGGGGUAAAAUCCUAAGAUCCAGGGAGGACCAUCGGUGGCGAAGGCGGCCCGCUAGAACGCGUCCGACGGUGAGGGACGAAAGCUGGGGGAGCGAUCCGGAUUAGAUACCCGGGUAGUCCCAGCCGUAAACGAUGCAGGCUAGGUGUGUGGGCGCCUUAGGGGCGCCCAUGUAACGAAGGGAAACCGUUAAGCCUGCCGCCUGGGGAGUACGGCCGCAAGGCUGAAACUUAAAGGAAUUGGCGGGGGAGCACCACAAGGGGUGGAGCCAGAGGGUCAAUUGGAGUCAACGCCCGGAACCUUACCCGGGGAGACAGCAGGAUGAAGGCCGGGSYGAAAGAGCCCWRCSAGACAAGCUGAGAGGUGGUGCAUGGCCGUCGCCGGCUCGUACCGUGAGGCGUCCGGUUAAGUCCGGCAACGAGCGAGACCCGCGCCGCCAAUUGCUCCAGCCCUCUUCGGGGGGCUGAGGAAAUUGGCGGGACUGCCGCCGUAAGGCGGAGGAAGGAGCGGGCUACGGCAGGUCAGUAUGCCCUGAAUCCCCGGGGCCACACGCGGGCUACAAUGGCGCGGACAAUGGGUGGCGAACCCGAAAGGGGGAGCCAAUCCCUAAACCGCGCCUCAGUUGGGAUCGAGGGCUGCAACCCGUCCUCGUGAACCUGGAAUCCCUAGUAACCGCGCGUCAUCAUCGCGCGGUGAAUACGUCCCUGCUCCU